RNAcentral lists this ribosomal RNA (499 nucleotides) under uncultured bacterium. Its description in RNAcentral is "partial 16S ribosomal RNA". It matches the Rfam family "Bacterial small subunit ribosomal RNA", at positions 28 to 507 of the family's 1533-position model. The record is from RNAcentral.
GACGAACGCUGGCGGCGUGCCUAAUACAUGCAAGUCGAGCGAAGUUUUUCUGGUGCUUGCCCUAGAAAAACUUAGCGGCGAACGGGUGAGUAACACGUAAAGAACCUGCCUCAUAGACUGGGACUACUGUUGGAAACGAUAGCUAAUACCGGAUAACAGUAUUUCUCGCAUGGGAGAUAUUUAAAAGUUGGUUAUGCUAACACUAUGAGAUGGCUUUGCGUUGCAUUAGCUAGUUGGUGGGGUAAAGGCCCACCAAGGCGACGAUGCAUAGCCGACCUGAGAGGGUGAUCGGCCACACUGGAACUGAGACACGGCCCAGACUCCUACGGGAGGCAGCAGUAGGGAAUCUUCCGCAAUGGGCGAAAGCCUGACGGAGCAACGCCGCGUGAGUGAAGAAGGAUUUCGGUUCGUAAAGCUCUGUUGUUAGGGAAGAAUGGAUAUGUAGUAACUAUACGUGUAAGUGACGGUACCUAACCAGAAAGCCACGGCUAACUACGUG